RNAcentral lists this ribosomal RNA (499 nucleotides) under uncultured bacterium. RNAcentral's name for it is "partial 16S ribosomal RNA". It matches the Rfam family "Bacterial small subunit ribosomal RNA", at positions 28 to 507 of the family's 1533-position model. The record is from RNAcentral.
GACGAACGCUGGCGGCGUGCCUAAUACAUGCAAGUCGAGCGAAGUUUUUCUGGUUCUUGCACUAGAAAAACUUAGCGGCGAACGGGUGAGUAACACGUAAAGAACCUGCCUCAUAGACUGGGACAACUAUUGGAAACGAUAGCUAAUCCCGGAUAACAGUAUUUCUCGAAUGAUAGAUAUUUAAAAGUUGGUUAUGCUAACACUAUGAGAUGGCUUUGCGUUGAAUUAGCUAGUUGGUGGGGUAAAGGCCCACCAAGGCGACGAUGCAUAGCCGACCUGAGAGGGGGAUCGGCAACACUGGGACGGAGAAACGGCCCAGACUCCUACGGGAGGCAGAAGUAGGGAAUCUUCGGAAAUGGGCGAAAGCCUGACGGAGCAAGGCGGCGUGAGUGAGGAAGGAUUUCGGUUCGUAAAGUUCUGUUGUUAGGGAAGAAUGGUGUUGGAGUAACUAUACAUGUAAGAGACGGUACCUAACCAGAAAGCCACGGCUAACUACGUG